CUAUGUACACCCAAGUUGGGAGGUGGUUUAGGAUUCCGGGAUCCACAUUGCUUCAAUCUUGCCUUGCUAUCCAAACAAGUAUGGCGUCUGUUAUUCAAUCCAGAAUCAUUAUGUGCAAAAGUUUUGAGAGAAAAAUAUUAUCCAGAUGAUAAAUUGUUGAAUGCAAGAAUGAAGAGUGGUGCCUCGUUCACAUGGCAAAGCAUCCUUGCAGGUCCCCAAACUUUCAAUACGGGGUGUAUUUGGCGUGUUGGAGACGGAAGCCAAAUAAAAAUUUGGGAGGAUUGUUGGAUUCCAAACAGUCACUCGGGCAAAGUAAUUACACCAAGAGGUAAUAAUCUUUUGACCAUGGUCUCUGAUUUGAUAGAUUCGGCAACAGGAGGAUGGGUCGAGUAGCUAGUCAAAGAUACCUUUUUGGCGAUCGAUGCAUCAAGGAUCCUUGCGAUCCCACUGUCACAAAAUGGCAUGUAGGACUUUGUUGCAUUGAAAUUUACAAAGAAUGGUCUUUUCUCUAUAAGGUUUGCGCACCAUGUAUAG
This 534-nucleotide ribosomal RNA is filed under the name Triticum aestivum (bread wheat). RNAcentral's name for it is "partial small subunit ribosomal RNA". The record is from RNAcentral. Lineage: Eukaryota; Viridiplantae; Streptophyta; Magnoliopsida; Poales; Poaceae.